AUUCUUCCCCCCCCCCUCCCUUUUUUUUUCCCAAAAUCGAUUCCCCCAUCCCCAGAAAUCUCUUUUCUUUUUUCCCCAUUUUAUUUUUCCGAAACCACUUCUCCCCUACCCCGAUUCCCUUUAUUUUCCCCCCAAUUUCCCCAAAUCGGCAGCCCUCUGGAUCUCCUCAAAGGGUUGUAGCAGAAGGAGGUCUCGAACUAGCAGGUCAAGUGGUACAGAUUCAUGGAGUCCUUACGGAUACUCCACGCCACCACAAUCUGCAUAUCCUCAACAAAUUACGGAAUCCCUGUCGGAUCGUGUCGGGUACUGCAUCCCAAAUUGCUGAGUUCGGGAAACGAAGGAUAUAUCAUUCAUCUCAACCUUAUUGUAUAAAUUAACUAUGAGUAGGUUUGCUAGUAGUCUUGCCGCUUCACUUUCAGUAUCUUGUUCAUGUACAAGUAUCAAUUUAGGGUUUGGAGGUGAAAUUUUUAGAUGACCUGAUUAUUUUGGUUUUCUUCUACUUAGCUAUGUUUUGUGUGACUUUGGAUAGCAAUUUGUCUUUUAAGUAGUGCUUUUUGUGCUCUUAUUCAGCUUUCAUAGUAAUAAUUGCUCCUCCGUGUACGGUCUGUUCUGAUGGUUUUGUUCUUGAGAGUACUUUCACUGCUCUGUUUUCCCUGAUAUCUUACCAUGACCCAUGAUUCUAUUCAAUUCUCUCUUUGUCUAGAAAAAGAGAAAAAAAAGUACAAUAUCCCUUGGAAAUUGAAGUCAACAAGGUAAAAUAUCCUCUAUUCUAUUUUUAUUCUUGCUUUUCUUAAGGUGCUUUACCACAGCUUAAUUUCUUUCUGCGGUUCUACUUAUUUGGCAUGCUUCUUAUACUGUAUUCACAAAUAUUGUUAUCUGUAGGCAAUACAGGGAGUACAUGGAGAAUUUGCUGGAGUAUCUUAUUUACUUCUUUCAGAGGACUGAACCACUGCAAGAUCUUGACGGAAUCUUUUCCAAGCUAUACUCAGGUCUUAGUUCUCGACCUGGGAUGAUUAAUCACCUCCCUGAUGGCUUUUCUUGGACACUUCUUAAAUGUAUUCAUGAAGAUCCGUUAUCUUCAACAUUACGGGUCAGAUUUUGCACGCCUUAAUUUUUUUGGAUUUUAUUCUCUUGUCUUGGAGAAGGAUGACGUGCUGAUAUCUGUAGCAUCUAUCAGUACAGUUGAAGAGCUUAUGGAAGUGGGUCCAGAAAAGUUAAAGGAGGUAAUUUUGGUUCGCUUUGAUUAUGUUCAUCAUUGCUAGACAUUUUUUUGUUGUAGUGACUCCAACCUCUUCAGUUCAGUGCUUAGAAAUGUGUGUUUUCCAUUUCUUUUAGGCAAAUGCAUGACCAAGUUGUAUUAAAGAGUGAAAAAUGAAGAAACAUGUUGCUAUUGUAUCAUCUGAUGUUGUCACUGUAAACAUCUUAUCUUGCUGGUUACUUUCAAAGUAAUUAGUUAUUUUGAGAAUGAAAAAUAUUAUGUGGUUCUGGCUAUAAAUUCUUAUGCUGUGAUUGUGUUCAUUUAUGCUAUGUUUGGAAACAUAAAUUUGAAAAUUUAGAUUUGGAAUUCAUUUGUAACCUCAGAGUACUCUUCUGUUUUAAUUGCUGUAAUGUGGGUUUUAAGAUCCAUUGCAAUUACAUGUCAAGCUUUUCACUUUGCCAGAACCCCAAAGGCAUUAUUGUUUGAGAUUUUUGAGGGAAUUAUUUGAUAUGUACUUGAAAUAUUUUGCUAACAGCCUAAAAGUUAAAAAUGAAUUAUUUGCUAACAUUUUGCAAAAGGCUCAUACGGACCUCGACAAAAUGGGUCUACUGCAGUUUCACAAGACAUUAAGAGGCGUUUGGUUCAGUGUAUUACCUAAUACAAUACAGGCCGAAUACGCGCGUAUUACAUGACGCCUCUAAUCCGGCGUUUGGUUCGCUGUAAUAGGCAUUACGGGCGUAAACCAAUCCCGACCUAAUCCCCUUUUUCGCUGCUUUUGUAAUCCCUUCCCAAAUCCCUGUAAUACCUAUUACGUCCGCCUUCCGUCCCCUGCUCUCUGUUUUACCCUCCCUCCCUACCCGACCCUCUCCUAUUCUGUCCUCAAAAUUUCUCCUUCCAUCUCCCACCGUUUUUGUUUAUUAUUCUGUCCUCAUCGUUUCUUCAGUCUCUGUCUCCUCCCAUUUCCUCCCAACCCUAUCUGCAACUCUCUACUGUUCUUCAAUAUUUUCACAAAAUUGGAAAUACCUGAUAGCUGAAUCCAUUGAAAAAAGAGUGAAGCGUUUUUCGGGUCAUCACCUCUAAUCCAAGAUCGGUAAGAGAGAGGUUAAUAAGAAAGUUCUCAAAGUUCCUGGAAUAGAGCAGAAGGUAACAUUUUUCCAACACUUCCACAUCGCAGUCGUCCCAGAUUUGAGCAUUACAGGUUAGUAUUGAUGUAGCAGGUUCUGUUGUUUCCCAAAUGAAUAUGGUUUUGUUUGUAUGUUUGUAAUGCUCAUUAAAGCUUUUGUUUGUAUGGUUAUGGUUAUUGUUGCAUGACCAUUGUUCUUUUUGAAUUUAUCAGCCAAGUUAUAUGUUUUUACUAUUAGGUAACAUUUUUUUUAAAGAGCAUUAUGCCUACAAAUAAUGGGCUUCAAAUCACAA
Long non-coding RNA from Gossypium raimondii (Peruvian cotton), 2614 nucleotides. RefSeq lists it as uncharacterized. Lineage: Eukaryota; Viridiplantae; Streptophyta; Magnoliopsida; Malvales; Malvaceae. The transcript has 6 exons. The record is from RefSeq and is a predicted model, not a curated record.